This 253-nucleotide ribosomal RNA is filed under the name uncultured bacterium. RNAcentral's name for it is "partial 16S ribosomal RNA". It matches the Rfam family "Bacterial small subunit ribosomal RNA", at positions 524 to 776 of the family's 1533-position model. The record is from RNAcentral.
AACGUAGGAGGCAAGCGUUAUCCGGAGUAACUGGGCGUAAAGGGCGAGUAGGUGGUUUUGUAAGUUGGUUAUGAAAGCUCCUGGCUAAACUGGGAGAGGCUGACCAAGACUGCAAGACUUGAGUGGAGAAGAGGUCAACGGAAUUCCGCGUGUAGUGGUGAAAUGCGUAGAGAUGCGGAAGAACACCAGUGGCGAAGGCGGUUGACUGGUCUCCAACUGACACUGAACCGCGAAAGCAUGGGUAGCGAACGGG